Molecule: ribosomal RNA, 209 nt
Filed under: uncultured bacterium
Lineage: Bacteria
Description: partial 16S ribosomal RNA
Rfam family: Bacterial small subunit ribosomal RNA
Source: RNAcentral
UGCGCAGGCGGUUAUAUAAGACAGAUGUGAAAUCCCCGGGCUCAACCUGGGAACUGCAUUUGUGACUGUAUAGCUAGAGUACGGCAGAGGGGGAGUGGAAUUCCGCGUGUAGCAGUGAAAUGCGUAGAUAUGCGGAGGAACACCGAUGGCGAAGGCAAUCCCCUCGGGCCUGUACUGACGCUCAUGCACGAAAGCGUGGGGAGCAAACA